This 858-nucleotide ribosomal RNA is filed under the name Paenibacillus sp. DMB20. Its description in RNAcentral is "bacterial LSU rRNA". It matches the Rfam family "Bacterial large subunit ribosomal RNA", at positions 2062 to 2925 of the family's 2925-position model. Lineage: Bacteria; Bacillati; Bacillota; Bacilli; Caryophanales; Paenibacillaceae. The record is from RNAcentral.
CAGGUUACCCGCGACAAGACGGAAAGACCCCAUGGAGCUUUACUGCAGCUUGAUAUUGGAUUUGGGUACGAUCUGUACAGGAUAGGUGGGAGCCUGAGAAACAGGAGCGCAAGCUUCUGUGGAGGCGCCGUUGGGAUACCACCCUGAUCGUAUCUAGGUUCUAACCUGGUACCGUAAUCCGGUGCGGGGACAGUGUCAGGCGGGCAGUUUGACUGGGGCGGUCGCCUCCUAAAGAGUAACGGAGGCGCCCCAAGGUUCCCUCAGAAUGGUUGGAAAUCAUUCGAAGAGUGCAAAGGCAUAAGGGAGCUUGACUGCGAGACCUACAAGUCGAGCAGGGACGAAAGUCGGGCUUAGUGAUCCGGUGGUACCGCAUGGAAGGGCCAUCGCUCAACGGAUAAAAGCUACCCUGGGGAUAACAGGCUUAUCUCCCCCAAGAGUCCACAUCGACGGGGAGGUUUGGCACCUCGAUGUCGGCUCAUCGCAUCCUGGGGCUGAAGUAGGUCCCAAGGGUUGGGCUGUUCGCCCAUUAAAGCGGUACGCGAGCUGGGUUCAGAACGUCGUGAGACAGUUCGGUCCCUAUCUGUCGUGGGCGUAGGAAAUUUGAGAGGAGCUGUCCUUAGUACGAGAGGACCGGGAUGGACGUACCGCUGGUGCACCAGUUGUUCCGCCAGGAGCACGGCUGGGUAGCUAAGUACGGAAGGGAUAAGCGCUGAAAGCAUCUAAGCGUGAAGCCCCCCUCAAGAUGAGAUUUCCCAAUUCGUAAGACCCCUUGAAGACGACGAGGUAGAUAGGUUGGAGGUGGAAGUGCAGCAAUGCAUGGAGCUGACCAAUACUAAUCGGUCGAGGGCUUAUCCUAAA